Perca flavescens (yellow perch) is the source of this 146-nucleotide long non-coding RNA. RefSeq lists it as uncharacterized. NCBI's taxonomy places the organism in Eukaryota, Metazoa, Chordata, Actinopteri, Perciformes, Percidae. The record is from RefSeq and is a predicted model, not a curated record. The transcript is spliced from 3 exons.
CUCACCUGUGUGCAGAGGGCAGGCAUUAGUGGCACAAACCAAGGUGCACAACAAGGCCCAAGAGAGACAAUUCCUGUGAUGUCCACAAAUCCAAAGCAGAGAAGAGAAGGAGCACACUAUACAAAGACAACAGUGGAGAGUUGCUG